AUAUAUAUAUAGUAGAGCUAGAAUACUUAUAAAAGUAUCAUCCAAGUGAUUUUUGUGUGUUUUUAGCCCUUGGAUGGAGAGAUGUGAGGUUGAUAUGAUAGUGGUAGGUGGUGAUAGGUGGUGGUAGGUGGAAUAGUGUUUGAUCCAAGGGCUAUUAGUAAUUAAAAAGUAGAUCCAAUGGCUAAAAACACACAAGUAUCACUUGGGUGAUACUUGUAAAAGUAUUCUAGCCCUACUU
RNAcentral lists this long non-coding RNA (238 nucleotides) under Ananas comosus (pineapple). RNAcentral's name for it is "long non-coding RNA (ACOM_LNC000430)". Lineage: Eukaryota; Viridiplantae; Streptophyta; Magnoliopsida; Poales; Bromeliaceae. The record is from RNAcentral.